This 544-nucleotide ribosomal RNA is filed under the name Arthrobacter sp. 3-53(2012). RNAcentral describes it as "bacterial SSU rRNA". It matches the Rfam family "Bacterial small subunit ribosomal RNA", at positions 900 to 1443 of the family's 1533-position model. Lineage: Bacteria; Bacillati; Actinomycetota; Actinomycetes; Micrococcales; Micrococcaceae. The record is from RNAcentral.
CUCAAAGGAAUUGACGGGGGCCCGCACAAGCGGCGGAGCAUGCGGAUUAAUUCGAUGCAACGCGAAGAACCUUACCAAGGCUUGACAUGUUCCAGAUCGCCUCAGAGAUGGGGUUUCCCUUCGGGGCUGGUUCACAGGUGGUGCAUGGUUGUCGUCAGCUCGUGUCGUGAGAUGUUGGGUUAAGUCCCGCAACGAGCGCAACCCUCGUUCCAUGUUGCCAGCGGGUUAUGCCGGGGACUCAUGGGAGACUGCCGGGGUCAACUCGGAGGAAGGUGGGGAUGACGUCAAAUCAUCAUGCCCCUUAUGUCUUGGGCUUCACGCAUGCUACAAUGGCCGGUACAAUGGGUUGCGAUACUGUGAGGUGGAGCUAAUCCCUAAAAGCCGGUCUCAGUUCGGAUUGGGGUCUGCAACUCGACCCCAUGAAGUCGGAGUCGCUAGUAAUCGCAGAUCAGCAACGCUGCGGUGAAUACGUUCCCGGGCCUUGUACACACCGCCCGUCAAGUCACGAAAGUUGGUAACACCCGAAGCCGAUGGCCUAACCACC